GAGAGGAGGGAGGAGAGAAGGCAGUAGGAGCAGCUACAGACAGGCCCAGCCCAGUCAGUGUGUGAUAGUGAGGGGUUUGACCAACCAAUGAUUGCAAGGUGAAAAAACUGAAUAAGGAAGCUGGGACAAUUAUUUGAUUGCAGGACUGGAUUGAAGAACUUGAAAUUGCUGGCAACCAAAUCUACUGCUUUCUGAAUCAUUUCUCAUUUAUCGCAAUCACUGAAACCUGCAGAAUAUUGAUAAAACUAGAGAGGGAACCUUGCCUGAGGCACCAGACCAGCAGGAUUAUUCAUCUACAUGCAUGCAUUUAAUUAAAAAGUGAAUUCCUCCGGCAGUAUCGUCUGUUGUACUGAUUAAAGGGGUUCACAUCCUCCCUCUGUACCGGAGCCACUGUAAAGUAUUGUAUGUCGCCACCUGCAACAAUGAACACUCCUCUUUUUCAGUGUUCUGAAGCAAAUCUCUGUCAAAAAAGGGCUGCGGCUUCCAGACAGGCAGGCAUACAACCACUUUACAUUCAUCAGCUCAAAACAGACUUUGUUACAUUUCUGUAACACCUGGAAAUAAGAUUCAGAAAAGGAUAAUGAAGUGUAGAGGCAUGCUCUCUUUCUGCUUUCUGCGGCAUAAUAUAAUAUAAAACAAGAUUCAAUGCUAUUCAUGGUAUUGAAGCUCAAAAGCCAAUGCUUGCACACAGGAGAAUUUAUUUUAACACAUUUUAUCAAAGCCUGAUAUAUACAUUUUUACGCUAAUGUCUGUGAUUGGACCUGUACACACAAGUAUGCAGUGUGCACUUACAGCGUUCAGAAGGGCUGACACUGUACUAAUAUAUAGGCCUAUUCAUCAUAACUAAACGUAAUAAAAAUAGGCCUUUUCAUCCAGGUAUUGGAACUAUUUAGUACUGUUGUAAUGCAGGAGAUAUCACUAAGAGCUCCUGCUUACCCUUCAGCUCCCAUUCUGGCCACAGUCACCAUACACUAGUAUGGAGAUCUUUAUACUCAUUAUGCAAGGAAAGCUUUAAGAGCACACUUACGGGGGUAUCCAAUUAUUCAAGAUAAAACAUCGGGUGCGAAAACGUCAGUUUUUCAUGAUUUUUGCAGAUGCUUUUGUGAUAUUUUUUUACAGGUUAUCCAAUUAUCCAUGUACAUUUUCUCAUGAAAAUACAUAGUUUCAGUGAAACCUGUGUGUUUUCACUGGCCGCAGCUCUGUUUUCACAUGAAAACAGAGCUGCUUUCAGGGAUUUGGUUUCACAUGCCUGAGGCAGUUGAAAUAAUAUCCCUGAUAAGCCAAUAAUCGUGCUGGUUUAUCUGGGCUAAUUGGAUAGCCUCCGGUGAAGAAAUUACCUCUUGUCAUUGACCGCAGGUAAUUGGAUACCCCCCUUAGAAUUCUCUGUUAAAUGCAAGAACAAAGUGCUAGGUUUUGGGGUCUA
This is a long non-coding RNA of Pseudophryne corroboree (corroboree frog), 1423 nucleotides long. RefSeq lists it as uncharacterized. The transcript is spliced from 3 exons. The record is from RefSeq and is a predicted model, not a curated record. NCBI's taxonomy places the organism in Eukaryota, Metazoa, Chordata, Amphibia, Anura, Myobatrachidae.